GCAAAAGCUCAAAUUUGAAAUCUGGCACUUUCAGUGUCCGAGUUGUAAUUUGAAGAAGGUAUCUUUGGGUCUGGCUCUUGUCUAUGUUUCUUGGAACAGAACGUCACAGAGGGUGAGAAUCCCGUGCGAUGAGAUGACCCAGACCUAUGUAAAGUUCCUUCGAAGAGUCGAGUUGUUUGGGAAUGCAGCUCUAAGUGGGUGGUAAAUUCCAUCUAAAGCUAAAUAUUGGCGAGAGACCGAUAGCGAACAAGUACAGUGAUGGAAAGAUGAAAAGAACUUUGAAAAGAGAGUGAAAAAGUACGUGAAAUUGUUGAAAGGGAAGGGCUUGAGAUCAGACUUGGUAUUUUGUAUGUUACUCUCUCGGGGGUGGCCUCUACAGUUUACCGGGCCAGCAUCAGUUUGGGCGGUAGGACAAUUGCAAAGAAAUGUGGCACUGCCUCGGUAGUGUGUUAUAGUCUUUGUCGAUACUGCCAGCCUAGACUGAGGACUGCGGCUUCGGCCUAGGAUGUUGGCAUAAUGA
Molecule: ribosomal RNA, 520 nt
Filed under: Lodderomyces orthopsilosis
Lineage: Eukaryota; Fungi; Ascomycota; Pichiomycetes; Serinales; Debaryomycetaceae
Description: eukaryotic LSU rRNA
Rfam family: Eukaryotic large subunit ribosomal RNA
Source: RNAcentral